UGGGGAAUAUUGCACAAUGGGGGGAACCCUGAUGCAGCCAUGCCGCGUGAAUGAAGAAGGCCUUCGGGUUGUAAAGUUCUUUCGGUGACGAGGAAGGUUGAUAGGUUAAUAGCCUAUCAAAUUGACGUUAAUCACAGAAGAAGCACCGGCUAACUCCGUGCCAGCAGCCGCGGUAAUACGGGGGGUGCGAGCGUUAAUCGGAAUAACUGGGCGUAAAGGGCACGCAGGCGGUGACUUAAGUGAGAUGUGAAAGCCCCGAGCUUAACUUGGGAAUUGCAUUUCAUACUGGGUCGCUAGAGUACUUUAGGGAGGGGUAGAAUUCCAUGUGUAGCGGUGAAAUGCGUAGAUAUAUGGAGGAACACCAGUGGCGAAGGCGACUCUCUGGUCUGUAACUGACGCUGAGGCUCGAAAGCGUGGGUAGCAAACAGGAUUAGAUACCCUGGUAGUCCACGCCGUAAACGAUGAGUGCUAAGUGUUGGUCUCAUAAGAGAUCAGUGCUGCAGCUAACGCAUUAAGCACUCCGCCUGGGGAGUACGACCGCAAGGUUG
Molecule: ribosomal RNA, 548 nt
Filed under: uncultured bacterium
Lineage: Bacteria
Description: bacterial SSU rRNA
Rfam family: Bacterial small subunit ribosomal RNA
Source: RNAcentral